This is a long non-coding RNA of Chloebia gouldiae (Gouldian finch), 1963 nucleotides long. The record is from Ensembl. NCBI's taxonomy places the organism in Eukaryota, Metazoa, Chordata, Aves, Passeriformes, Passeridae.
UAUGGAGGCUGUUUCCAGCCGCAGUGCGGGCACAGCGGGGCCAAAGGCUCCCGCCUUCCCCGCCCUCAGCCCAGCCCGCAGCGCCCUGGCCCGGCUGCUGCCAGGGCAGCAGGAUGUGAAGGGCACCUGGAUCCUCCCCGGCCCCCAGGCUGGGCCACUUCCCCGUGAAGAGGCAGCUUUUUCCUGGCCAAAGCUCUCCCAUACGAAUCCAUCCAUUCCUGUCCCACACGGUCCUGAAUUCCUCCUUUGCAGCCUUUGCCCCAGGAUGCAAAGGGCUCUCUGACUGGGAUGCCCUUGCCCUGCUAUUGUCCGAGCCUGCAGGAAAAGGAAGGAGCGGAGGCCCCCGCGGUUCCUUCCUGCCCGGAGCCGGGGCCGGCCGGGGCUGCUGGGCUGCGCUGGCCCCUCUCCGUGAGCUGCAGCAGCCCCCGGGACCACCACGACGACAACUUUCACAGGACCACACUCACUGCCAGGCAAAGGAGAGGAAGCUGCUAAUGGACGCUAAUGGAGCUGUGAGGAUCCUCCCGGGAGGCAGCCGAGCUGUCCUGGAGCGAGAAAAGCGGCGAACAGCUCACUCGCACUUCCACGCCUGCUCUGGCUGUCGCUCUCGGACAUCCCUCGGGGUUACAGCUUCAACAGAUUAGGGCAGCGGAAGAUUUGCAGCUCCAGGCAAACCACGGAGGAAGGUGGGUUGGGAAAUCUGAGGCCAGUGCAACUACUGCGGAGGAUUUUGGGGAUCUCACGCUCUGCCUUAGCAGCAUCCCAUUUCCGCCAGGUAACACCGGCAUCCUCCUCCCAGGAGCUCUCAGAUGAAGGCAAUACUGCCGGGGCUGGAUCCUGAGCACAGGGAUCUCUUCAUUUUUAUUUUGCCAUUAGGAAUUUUCAAGACUUUUCUCAUGACAAAAAAUGUGCUGUGGGAAAACAGAACAAUCCAAAAAAGAAUUUAUAAGAACAAGACGGUUUGCCCCUGGUUUUGCUGCUUUCCUGCGUGUUUGUGAGUUAGCACUUGUGCUCCCUCUGUCUCUCCCCGGGGAUCACCCACGGUGUCGGCACGAGGAAGGGAUCAGCUCCCAGACUUUCUCCGGGAACCGACCGCUGCAGUGCCCUUCCCGUGCUCCGCAGGCGGGUCAUGCUCUAUUUAUCGGCUCAUUUCCAUACCCGAGUGCUGCAGUGCUGCUUCCGCCAGCCCCGCGAAUUCCAGUGCCACGGACUGUGCCAGCAAAACGGGACCGACAACGAGCUUGUGACAUUGGUCUGCUCACAGCCCGAGCAUCACCUCGGGCUCGUUUCUCAGUGACACACACUGGGGGCUUGGUUCGGUCUCCAAAGGGCCCUGACACCCUCAGGAGAUAUCAGGGAAAAGACAGAAGUAUUUCCAUCUUGGUCACUGGAGCUCCAUCUCAUGGUGUGUUUCAGGCUGUGUGCCAUGACCUCCUCCACGGCUGCAGGAGGAAAUGCCCUGUGAGGGAAGGCUCUUUCUGCACUGGUGAUUAUAAAGGGGGCUCAUUUCCCUGCUGGAGCUCAGAGCAGGUCCUCAGUGGGGGUGGAACAUGUACCAGAAGUCCCCUGGGAGGAGCAGCUUUGUGCAGAGCUGCUGUCUCACUAAAGCAUCACCUCCGUGCCCUGGCCCUGGGUCUGGGACAGGCCCUGUGGCACAGCUGUGGGGCUGCUCCUGAUGUCUCAGGUUUGAGCUUUUCUAUUUUUCAGGUUCUGUGCUGCUUUAGUGUGUGGGUCUGGUUUUGCAUAUUAUGGGAUGUUGAGCUCUUUUCACAGAGCAGGGAGACAAAACAAUUCCUGCUCUAGCUGGGGACCAAGGACAAAUGAUCCAGAUCUCAGGCCCAAGAGCACAAACAGUGUGGGCUGAAGAGAGAAAAACAAGAAGGAUGGGACUGCAUGGGCUGGGGCUGUAAAUGGACAAUGAACUCCAAUAUGCAAAUAGACCAAAACUUAUUAAAGUGAGAGA